CUCGUAGGCGGCCAACUAAGUCAGACGUGAAAUCCCUCGGCUCAACCGGGGAACUGCGUCUGAUACUGGAUGGCUUGAAUCCGGGAGAGGGAUGCGGAAUUCCAGGUGUAGCGGUGAAAUGCGUAGAUAUCUGGAGGAACACCGGUGGCGAAGGCGGCAUCCUGGACCGGUUUUGACGCUGAGGAGCGAAAGCCAGGGGAGCAAACGGGAUUAGAUACCCCGGUAGUCCUGGCCCUAAACGAUGAAUGCUUGGUGUGGCGGGUAUCGAUCCCUGCCGUGCCGAAGCUAACGCAUUAAGCAUUCCGCCUGGGGAGUACGGUCGCAAGGCUGAA
RNAcentral lists this ribosomal RNA (332 nucleotides) under uncultured bacterium. Its description in RNAcentral is "bacterial SSU rRNA". It matches the Rfam family "Bacterial small subunit ribosomal RNA", at positions 568 to 898 of the family's 1533-position model. The record is from RNAcentral.